UACGAAGGGGGCUAGCGUUGUUCGGAAUUACUGGGCGUAAAGGGCGCACAGGCGGCUCUUCAAGUCAGAUGUGAAAGCCCCGGGCUCAACCUGGGAACUGCAUUUGAGACUGGAGAGCUUGAGUUCGGGAGAGGAUGGUGGAAUUCCGAGUGUAGAGGUGAAAUUCGUAGAUAUUCGGAAGAACACCAGUGGCGAAGGCGGCUCACUGGACCGGCAUUGACGCUGAGGUGCGAAAGCGUGGGGAGCAAACAGG
Molecule: ribosomal RNA, 253 nt
Filed under: uncultured bacterium
Lineage: Bacteria
Description: partial 16S ribosomal RNA
Rfam family: Bacterial small subunit ribosomal RNA
Source: RNAcentral